GACGAACGCUGGCGGCGUGCUUAACACAUGCAAGUCGAACGGAAAGGCCCCUUUGGGGGUCCUCAAGUGGCGAACGGGUGAGUAACACGUGAGUAACCUGCCCUUUACUUCGGGAUAACUUCAGGAAACUGGGGCUAAUACCGGAUAGGAAUCCUUGCUGCAUGGUGGGGGUUGGAAAGCUUCGGCGGUUUUGGAUGGACUCGCGGCUUAUCAGCUUGUUGGUGGGGUAGUGGCUUACCAAGGCUUUUACGGGUAGCCGGCCUGAGGGGGCGACCGGCCACAUUGGGACUGAGAUAAGGCCCAGACUCCUACGGGAGGCAGGCGUGGGGAAUAUUGCCCAAUGGGCGGAAGCCUGAUGCCGCAAAGCGGCGGGCGGGAUGACGGGCUUCGGGUUGUAAACCGCUUUCAGCAGGGGCGAAGCUUGUGGUGACGGUACCUGCAGAAGAAGCACCGGCUAACUACGUG
RNAcentral lists this ribosomal RNA (465 nucleotides) under uncultured bacterium. RNAcentral's name for it is "partial 16S ribosomal RNA". It matches the Rfam family "Bacterial small subunit ribosomal RNA", at positions 28 to 507 of the family's 1533-position model. The record is from RNAcentral.